GCUGACGAGCGGCGGACGGGUGAGUAAUGUAUGGGGAUCUGCCCGAUGGAGGGGGAUAACUACUGGAAACGGUAGCUAAUACCGCAUAAUGUCUCNGGANCAAAGCAGGGGACCUUCGGGCCUCGCGCCAUCGGAUGAACCCAUAUGGGAUUAGCUAGUAGGUGAGGUAANGGCUCACCUAGGCGACGAUCCCUAGCUGGUCUGAGAGGAUGAUCAGCCACACUGGGACUGAGACACGGCCCAGACUCCUACGGGAGGCAGCAGUGGGGAAUAUUGCACAAUGGGCGCAAGCCUGAUGCAGCCAUGCCGCGUGUAUGAAGAAGGCCUUCGGGUUGUAAAGUACUUUCAGUGGGGAGGAAGGCGU
Molecule: ribosomal RNA, 364 nt
Filed under: Enterobacteriaceae bacterium N104
Lineage: Bacteria; Pseudomonadati; Pseudomonadota; Gammaproteobacteria; Enterobacterales; Enterobacteriaceae
Description: bacterial SSU rRNA
Rfam family: Bacterial small subunit ribosomal RNA
Source: RNAcentral